UACAGCAGCCUCAGCUAGGUGCCAUUUUGAGGCCUAGGUACCAGAGAUCUACAGACACAGUUGCUGCCAUUGUAUUGCUCCAAGGAGGGAGAGGGGAGACCAGGCACUUCCAUGCACCCCUGGAAGGGUCCCUGCUGCCCUGCUGCAGGCUGCUGUUGAGACUGAGGUGUACUCUUGAGAAGGGAUUCUGGCAGGAUAGGAAACUUGAGUGAGUCUCUUCAAUGGUACCAACAUUCUGGUCAUGAACAUCUGCAGCUGCGGUGGAACACGCACAAGGUCUCACCCACUUCUUUUAUAUGAAGCAAAAGUCUAAAGCUGCUGUGGAGAAGGCAAGGAAACCUCCUGCUUUCAGAGCACUGGCAAAGAUCCCUGCUUCUCAAAAGGAAAGACAGCAAAAGUUCUCGGCUACAGGGGUUAACUGUAAAACGGCCUCAGGCAGAUCCUUCAGGAGGUAUUCCAUAAGAAAGCAUUGUUAUCACAGAAGAAGACAGUUCCAUGCAUGUUUCUGACCCUGAAGAGCUUCUAGUGGGACAAGAUGUAGAAGAGAGUAGUACUGGUGAUCCUGACCCUACGUAGCCCUAGGCUCAUGUGUGUGUGUCUUCAUUUUUAAGAAAAAAGUUUUAAAACUAAAAGUAGAAAAAAAGCUUAUAGAAUAAGGGUAUAAAGAAAACAUUUUGUACAACUAUACAAUAUGUUUAUGUUUUAAGUUAAAUGUUACUACAAAAGAUUCAAAAAGCUUUAAAAAAUUAAGUUUAUAAAGUAAAAAUGUUAUAGUAAGGUAAGGUUGCUUUAUGAUUGAAGAAAGAAACAUCAUUUUACAAAGUUAG
Callithrix jacchus (white-tufted-ear marmoset) is the source of this 827-nucleotide long non-coding RNA. RefSeq lists it as uncharacterized. The record is from RefSeq and is a predicted model, not a curated record. NCBI's taxonomy places the organism in Eukaryota, Metazoa, Chordata, Mammalia, Primates, Cebidae.